GAUGAACGCUGGGGGCAUGCUUAAAACAUGCAAGUCGGACGGGAAGUGGUGUUUCGAGUGGCGGACGGGGGAGUAACGCGUAAGAACCUGCGCUUGGGAGGGGAACAACAGGGGGAAACGGCUGCUAAUACCCCGUAGGGUGAGGAGGAAAAGGAGGAAACCGCCCGAGGAGGGGCUUGCGUCUGAUUAGCUAGUUGGUGAGGCAAUAGCUUACCAAGGCGAUGAUCAGUAGCUGGUCCGAGAGGAUGAUCAGCCACACUGGGACUGAGACACGGCCCAGACUCCUACGGCAGGCAGCAGUGGCGAAUUUUCCGGAAGGGGCGAAAUCCCGACGGAGCGAUGCCGCGUGCAGGUAGAAGGCACACGGGUCGUGAACUGCUUUUCCCGGAGAAGAAGCAAUGACGGUCUCUGCGGAAUAGCCAUCGGCUAACUCUGUG
This 437-nucleotide ribosomal RNA is filed under the name uncultured bacterium. RNAcentral describes it as "partial 16S ribosomal RNA". It matches the Rfam family "Bacterial small subunit ribosomal RNA", at positions 28 to 507 of the family's 1533-position model. The record is from RNAcentral.